This 550-nucleotide ribosomal RNA is filed under the name Mancinella alouina. RNAcentral describes it as "partial 12S ribosomal RNA". Lineage: Eukaryota; Metazoa; Mollusca; Gastropoda; Neogastropoda; Muricidae. The record is from RNAcentral.
AAACCAAGAAGGUUAAGUUAUAUAUUUUUGGUUAAAAGACAGUUAGAUGAAACCAACUAAAGUUUAUUUAAUUAUUAUUUGGAAGUAAAAUUCGUAGAUAGUAUAGAAAUUUAAUUAUGGCUAAAAAAUCGAAGCUGUGACACCCCCGAGGGAAACUGGGAUUAGAUACCCCAUUAUUCUUGGAGGUAAAAAGGUGAAAGCUUACCAGAGUACUACGGAUUAGUUUUAUUUAAAACUCAAAGAGCUUGGCGGUGUUUUAGACUCUUUAGGGGAACCUGUCUCAUAAUCGACAAUCCACGAUAAACCUGACCUUUAUUUGCCAUCAGUUUGUAUACCGUCGUCGUCAGGUAACUUUUUAGAAAGUAGAAGUUAGCAAGAGAGAAAGGAUAAUCUCUUACGUCAGAUCAAGGUGCAGCCAACAUAAAGGAGAGGAUGGGUUACAAUUAUAAAAGUUAUAACAACGAAAUAAUGACUUGAAAAGUUAUAAAGAAGGAGGACUUGAAAGUAAAACAGAUUAUAUAAACAUCUUGAAUUGAGCUCUGAAACGUGC